RNAcentral lists this ribosomal RNA (434 nucleotides) under uncultured Lachnospiraceae bacterium. RNAcentral describes it as "partial 16S ribosomal RNA". It matches the Rfam family "Bacterial small subunit ribosomal RNA", at positions 341 to 792 of the family's 1533-position model. Lineage: Bacteria; Bacillati; Bacillota; Clostridia; Lachnospirales; Lachnospiraceae. The record is from RNAcentral.
ACGGAAGGCAGCAGUGGGGAAUAUUGCACAAUGGGGGAAACCCUGAUGCAGCGACGCCGCGUGAGUGAUGAAGUAUUUCGGUAUGUAAAGCUCUAUCAGCAGGGAAGAUAAUGACGGUACCUGACUAAGAAGCUCCGGCUAAAUACGUGCCAGCAGCCGCGGUAAUACGUAUGGAGCAAGCGUUAUCCGGAUUUACUGGGUGUAAAGGGAGCGCAGGCGGUCUGGCAAGUCUGAUGUGAAAACCCGGGGCUCAACCCCGGGACUGCAUUGGAAACUGUCAGACUAGAGUGUCGGAGGGGUAAGUGGAAUUCCUAGUGUAGCGGUGAAAUGCGUAGAUAUUAGGAGGAACACCAGUGGCGAAGGCGGCUUACUGGACGACAACUGACGCUGAGGCUCGAAAGCGUGGGGAGCAAACAGGAUUAGAUACCCUGGUA